GACCUUUUGUUUCCUGGGACACUGUUGUUCCACUCUUGUUUUCUGGGACACUGCAGUCAAAUCUGGAUCUACUUGUAAAACACUCUGACCUUGAACUGUGGGAAGUGCUGGAACUAUAUGACUUAAAGGAUUUUGUCCAGUCACUGCCAAAGAAGCUCCUCCAUGAGAUGUCAAAAGGUGGUGAAAAUCUCAGUGCCUGUUAUGGAUGCAGGAAGGAUUCUAGAAUAUGAUACACCACAGAAUUUGUUACAAUGAAAAGGUGCCUUUUCUGAAAUGGUUGCAGAGGCUGGGAUAAGAAGAUAAUGAAUGAGUGAAUUCUGAAGGAAUGCUGAAGAGAUCUCUGGCAUUCCAUAUAUAUAGGUGCAAUAUUUUAUAUUCCAUAUAAAACAACUGACUUACUCAAGAGCUCCUCGCAACAUUGCUGUUUACUACAGCUACAAUCUGUAUAUAUUGAGCACGUUUCUUAAAAUUCAGAUUUUAUACAAGUCACUUGUUUUUAUUAUAUUGGCACUGGGAAAACAGAAUGAAGUGGGGAUUUUCAUGGCAUAUGUUUAAACUGUUGCAUUAAUAAAGACUGAUUGAAAAAUAAA
This is a non-coding RNA of Sturnus vulgaris (Common starling), 590 nucleotides long. Lineage: Eukaryota; Metazoa; Chordata; Aves; Passeriformes; Sturnidae. The record is from RefSeq and is a predicted model, not a curated record.